UUUCUUCUCGGUAUCUCCUUCUUUCUUUGACAACACAGAGACUGUGUAACUCAAGUUUGGGGGAGGUACCAAGCAUUUGAUCAUGUUUGCUUUGAUUGUGUUUCAUUUGAGUCAUGCAUUGCACGCCUAUUUACAUAAAAAAAAAAAGAUUUUUCAUUUAGUUUGCAUCAUUCGCACCAUUAGGAGAGUCUAGAGCAUAUAGGUUGCAUUCACUUGCAUUGGGAGCAAUGAUUUUAAAUGCCUUGUA
RNAcentral lists this long non-coding RNA (247 nucleotides) under Brassica rapa (field mustard). RNAcentral's name for it is "long non-coding RNA (BRAP_LNC008630)". The record is from RNAcentral. Lineage: Eukaryota; Viridiplantae; Streptophyta; Magnoliopsida; Brassicales; Brassicaceae.